RNAcentral lists this ribosomal RNA (253 nucleotides) under uncultured bacterium. RNAcentral's name for it is "partial 16S ribosomal RNA". It matches the Rfam family "Bacterial small subunit ribosomal RNA", at positions 524 to 776 of the family's 1533-position model. The record is from RNAcentral.
UACGAAGGGGGCUAGCGUUGUUCGGAUUUACUGGGCGUAAAGGGUACGCAGGCGGCAUGUCAAGUUGGGGGUGAAAUCCCGGGGCUCAACCCCGGAACUGCCUCCAAAACUGGCAAGCUAGAGAUCGAGAGAGGUGAGUGGAAUUCCUAGUGUAGAGGUGAAAUUCGUAGAUAUUAGGAGGAACACCGGUGGCGAAGGCGGCUCACUGGCUCGAUACUGACGCUCAUGUACGAAAGCGUGGGGAGCAAACAGG